This 464-nucleotide ribosomal RNA is filed under the name uncultured bacterium. RNAcentral describes it as "partial 16S ribosomal RNA". It matches the Rfam family "Bacterial small subunit ribosomal RNA", at positions 339 to 795 of the family's 1533-position model. The record is from RNAcentral.
CUACGGGCUGCUGCAGUGAGGAAUAUUGCGCAAUGGGGGCAACCCUGAUGCAGCCAUGCCGCGUGUGUGAAGAAGGCCUUCGGGUUGUAAAGCACUUUCAGCAGUGAGGAAAGCAGCAUAGUUAAUACCUGUGUUGUGUGACGUUAACUGCAGAAGAAGCACCGGCUAACUCCGUGCCAGCAGCCGCGGUAAUACGGAGGGUGCGAGCGUUAAUCGGAAUUACUGGGCGUAAAGCGCAUGCAGGCGGUCUGUUAAGCCAGAUGUGAAAGCCCGGGGCUCAACCCCGGAAUAGCAUUUGGAACUGGCAGACUAGAGUUUGGUAGAGGGGGGUAGAAUUUCAGGUGUAGCGGUGAAAUGCGUAGAGAUCUGAAGGAAUACCAGUGGCGAAGGCGGCCCCCUGGACAAAAACUGACGCUCAGAUGCGAAAGCGUGGGUAGCAAACAGGAUUAGAUACCCCCGUAGUC